AUUAAAGCGUUGAGUGGAAUCGAUGAAUGGUCGUGUCUUGAAGCGAGUCCGGGAUGAUGGGAACCGGAUAGACAUCCAUUGAUCACACAUCCACGAGUGGACGAUUGAACGAAGUAGGUCGUCUCGGUUGGGCUCGUUAUCGCCGUGGUUGAGAUAACUACAUGAGGUUAGCUGUGUGAGCAGUUAACAAAUCUGAGGUGGAACCGCGGUAAAAGCCGUCCUCUUA
This 226-nucleotide non-coding RNA is filed under the name Lacticaseibacillus paracasei. The record is from RNAcentral. Lineage: Bacteria; Bacillati; Bacillota; Bacilli; Lactobacillales; Lactobacillaceae.